Pyrus x bretschneideri (Chinese white pear) is the source of this 825-nucleotide long non-coding RNA. RefSeq lists it as uncharacterized. The transcript is spliced from 5 exons. NCBI's taxonomy places the organism in Eukaryota, Viridiplantae, Streptophyta, Magnoliopsida, Rosales, Rosaceae. The record is from RefSeq and is a predicted model, not a curated record.
AGAGUUUUUAUCAUUUUCGUUAUCUCUGCUGAUGUUUUGGAUUUUUUUAUUUAUGAUUUUUGUGCGAUGAUUAGGGUUGAAGAAUUUGGUGAUUAGGGUUGUAAGCAAUCUAAUUUGACUGUUGAUAGCAUUCGUUUUAUUUUAGAACUCAAAGCCAUCAACAACUUAUUGGCCCUUGCAGUUGGAUUAAAGCAAAACAAAAGUGUGAACAUGAUUGUAAAGAAGGUCUUAUCAAGUGCUUCUCAACCAGUUCACUGUUCACCCAAACGACUGCCACCACCAGUUCACCCGAAUCUGAUGAAUCGCGCCGCACCACCAAUAGAAAGAAGGGGGAACGCCUGAACUGGAGAAAGGUACAGUUAGGCUGUUCAAGAUCUUUAUGAAGUUGUCCAUGACAUCCUUUCUAUGGACCUGAGGGAAAACUAUGAGACAUGGAAAUUUUUGUCAAAUGCAAGGACGGAAGGUCGUCUAUUUGCAUAGUUAAAGUGGCCCAAGGACCCUAAGUUGGUAUGUUUGAGCAGAUUACCUGAUCUCCUUAGUUGGGUUUAGAUUUAAUGCUCAGUAUUAUGUUGUGCUUCUGCUGCUUUUUAGUUAUUGAGGAUAUGCAGAGAGUGCAAGUGAAAAGAUUGUAUUCACUGUGUUGACGCAUUAUUUAUAACGAGAGAUCCAAAAGGAAGGACAGGUUCAAUCUCAAGUGAUGACACAAAAGCUCCAUAGAAAACGUGUCAGCUUUUGACUCAAAUUUUGACGGUGCCCCUAUCAUCUCUCCGAAAACAAAAGCAACCCCAAACAAUUCCGGAAUCAUUUUUACGUGUCCCAAAAUAC